RNAcentral lists this long non-coding RNA (220 nucleotides) under Carica papaya (papaya). Its description in RNAcentral is "long non-coding RNA (CPAP_LNC005911)". Lineage: Eukaryota; Viridiplantae; Streptophyta; Magnoliopsida; Brassicales; Caricaceae. The record is from RNAcentral.
GAGCUGUUGAAAUCAAGAGUCUAGACACACAUAAGAUUUUCAAAGUGAACGAACACUGAUUCAUACUAUUUUAUAAAGGAUUUACUAAGCAACAAGUCGAAGAAGUGAUCCUCAAGAAUCUUGCAGAUAAUAACUGACAACUCACAGGCUACAUCUAGCCUAAGAUGAUAAACAAGGGCAUUUAAUGGGAGGCAACCUAUUUGGUUUCUUCAUUCCUUCU